GAGCGGCGGACGGGUGAGUAAUGUCUGGGAAACUGCCUGAUGGAGGGGGAUAACUACUGGAAACGGUAGCUAAUACCGCAUAACGUCGCAAGACCAAAGUGGGGGACCUUCGGGCCUCAUGCCAUCAGAUGUGCCCAGAUGGGAUUAGCUAGUAGGUGGGGUAACGGCUCACCUAGGCGACGAUCCCUAGCUGGUCUGAGAGGAUGACCAGCCACACUGGAACUGAGACACGGUCCAGACUCCUACGGGAGGCAGCAGUGGGGAAUAUUGCACAAUGGGCGCAAGCCUGAUGCAGCCAUGCCGCGUGUGUGAAGAAGGCCUUCGGGUUGUAAAGCACUUUCAGCGGGGAGGAAGGCGUUAAGGUUAAUAACCUUGGCGAUUGACGUUACCCGCAGAAGAAGCACCGGCUAACUCCGUGCCAGCAGCCGCGGUAAUACGGAGGGUGCAAGCGUUAAUCGGAAUUACUGGGCGUAAAGCGCACGCAGGCGGUCUGUCAAGUCGGAUGUGAAAUCCCCGGGCUCAACCUGGGAACUGCAUUCGAAACUGGCAGGCUAGAGUCUUGUAGAGGGGGGUAGAAUUCCAGGUGUAGCGGUGAAAUGCGUAGAGAUCUGGAGGAAUACCGGUGGCGAAGGCGGCCCCCUGGACAAAGACUGACGCUCAGGUGCGAAAGCGUGGGGAGCAAACAGGAUUAGAU
RNAcentral lists this ribosomal RNA (694 nucleotides) under Klebsiella pneumoniae. RNAcentral's name for it is "bacterial SSU rRNA". It matches the Rfam family "Bacterial small subunit ribosomal RNA", at positions 93 to 783 of the family's 1533-position model. Lineage: Bacteria; Pseudomonadati; Pseudomonadota; Gammaproteobacteria; Enterobacterales; Enterobacteriaceae. The record is from RNAcentral.